ACUCAAAUGAGAACUCUUAUCUACUAAUUACCUGCUAUUCCUCUCACAUCUGCAUUCCAGCAUCUCUCCUUCGCGCAAACGCGCGCGCGCAUUAAUGAAGCUCUUUCUCCGCGGAGCGCUAGAUUUGAAUGAACCGAGCAUCAGUCAUAGCUGAUCAAAAGAUAAGCGGCAACGGCGAUCUCUCGUCUCGUACCUUUAUGGAAAUUCACUCUUGAUCUCGGGCUUUACGAACGCGCGCGUUACCGGCUGGAGAGCCGCGCUCUCAUGCGCGGCCACGAGGAGGCGUUGCACUCCAGUUCAGAGCAGAGAGCUUCGACGGCACGAAUUCAACAGCGUCUUCUCUUGGUUUUCACACACGAUGACGUUAGGAAACAAAAGCAUGUUAAUGAUUUUCGGAGGCCACGGUCGAGCUGGAGAGCACUUCAAACUCAAGAGCAGGAAACACGCUGGGCUCCACAGGGUUCCCACAGCAUGGUUCGGGCCAUUUUACAGCUUCACAUCACCCCAGCUGACCCCUUGAUGACCACUUGACAAAAUGGAGGGGAGGGUGAGGACAAAAGAGAGCUGACCAAGGAAGAUGAGCGGCGGGAUGAAAGGAAAAGUGGAGAGGUAACGGUGGGAUGUGAAGGGAAAAAAAAACUGCACAAAGAGCGAUGAGACAUGCCGAAGCGGUGAGGUCAUCAGCACUUCCUUUUCAUCAAAUUCAUUCCAUACAUGUGCAUGCAAAUUCAACAAAGUAUUCUAUCUCUUUUUCAUUUGUAUUUUCUUCAUUAUAAUUGAUUAUUACUUUAUUUAAUGUAUGUAAACAUUUUACCCAACAGAGCCCGACUGUAUUCCACUUAGAUAAGGUCACUUCUUAAGUCAUGACAUACUUUAAUGAUAAAAACCCUCCGCUUCUCUCACUUCUGCCCCCAAACUCUCCAUGGAAGCAAUUACAUCAUAUUAAAAGGUCUAAAGAGGCAUCGGUAAUCAGAGGACAUCUCAAAUACAACACAAAUGAAACCCAAGGGCUAAUUGUUGCACAACUUACUCUGAAAAGAUGGAAAUAAUUGUAACCAGAAGGACGGAAUAUUCCCUGUACUUUUUUAUUUUGUAGGAAAGUUAUGGAGAUUACAACUGCAUGUUCAUAUUUAAGAAUCCCCCAAAGCAAAUUUACUGAUCCAAAGAUUAGAUUAAUGUUUCUUAGGUAAUCUUACCGAACAGGGCUGGCUCAAUAUAGUAGGGAGUUUAAUAAUCACAGAGGGUUAUUAUAAUUCUAUAUUAACUCUUGAUAAAUGUAUUUUUGAGAUUUAUUUACAGUGCUUUAGAUUUCUUUCUCUCUCUCUCUCUCUCUCUCUCUCUCUCUCUCUCUCUCUCUCUCUCUGUUCUUUUGUUGAAGUAUAUAUAUAUAUAUAUAUAUACUUUAUCCAGGUUAAUUGGGUUUACUAGGCAGGUUAGAGUAAUUAGGUAAGUUAUUAUAUAACGAUGGUUCUGUCAACUAUAAAAAAAUUUUUUUUUUUUAAUUAAAAACUGCUUUUAUUCUAGCCAAAAUAAAACAAAUAAUACUUUCUUGUUUCUAUAAAAAAUAUUAUCAGAUAUACUGUGAAAAUUACCUUAAUGUUACAUAUCAUUUGGGAAAUAUUUAAAAAAAAAAAGAAAAAAAAUCUAAGGGGGGCUAAUAAUUCUGGUUUCAACUGUACAUAGAUAAUUUUGGAAGCACCAAGCAAAAAAUAUGAAAUAUUUUUACAGUUAAUAAUCAUCUUUUUAUAUAGCAAUUUGGCAAAAAAAAAAAAAAACUUGCUGAUGUUUCUGUCUGAAAAACAGUGAAGGAGCUGACUCUGUCAAAUGCAGAUACAGCAAGUUCUGCUGAAACUCCAGGAUAUUUUCCAUAACUGUUUUAAAAAGCUGUGCAGGCUCUACAUUCAUUUUAUUGUUAUAUUUCACUGAUGACACGGUGCCUUUUUAUGUGAAUUCUAUAGUACCAAUUUUGUGAAUUGUGACCUAACACUUUAGAUAAGGUCACAAUUCAUGCUAUUAACUACUGGGUUAUUACUUGCCGAUUAUUAAGUUAUUAACUGUUUAUUACUAUUAGUUAUAAAGUAUGAUCUUACUCUGCAUCCCUAAUCCCACCCAAAACCUAAACCCAACUUCUACAUUACUAAUUGUUAAUAAACAGCUAAUUAGUCAUUUAUUAAGCCAGUAGUGUUAGUUAAAGGUUUGUUAUUACUGUCAAUUGUGACCUAAACUAAAGUGUUACCAAGGUUUCUAAUAAGCAAAUGAUUUAAGGGGGAAAAAAAUUCAUUGUUAAUCAGGAACAUUUUAAAUUAAUACAUUUUUGGCACAAAGUAAAUGAAAAAUUGCUGCUUUAGGUAAUUAGGUAAAAUAAUUUAGGUAAAAAUUGUAAUUUUUUUGCCUAUCUAUUGUUGUGCUAAUCUUGUAAACAUAUUGUUUGUAAUAAACUUAUUUACAUCUAUACAGUAGCUUUAUUGUUUCAUUUGUCAUGUAAUAUAAAUGUGCGCAUCCCCCCUCUUUGACCAGACUUUUUUUUUUUCUUUGGGUGACUCAUUUUGUUCAUGUUGUUCUGUCUGCUG
RNAcentral lists this long non-coding RNA (2570 nucleotides) under Danio rerio (zebrafish). RNAcentral's name for it is "lncRNA si:dkeyp-80e12.2 (ENSDARG00000105620.2)". The record is from RNAcentral. Lineage: Eukaryota; Metazoa; Chordata; Actinopteri; Cypriniformes; Danionidae.